AAGUCGUAACAAGGUCUCCGUAGGUGAACCUGCGGAGGGAUCAUUAACACGUUUCCAACGUUACCAACCAAACGCGAACUCGAAACCCCGACCUGAAAGGAAAUAAUCGUUUAAAUUCUAUUAGUGAUGGGCUUUCUUUAUUGAAAGCGAUAGAAUUAUAAAACUCACAUAGCUCGACUAUGAAGGUUAUUUCUCUCUCAGGUUUAAACCCCAUUCUUUUCAUCACAGGAAUAAACAAAACCCCUUUCACCCCCUAUGAUAAUUGACUGAUAAACCAUUUGACUGGGAGAAAUCAUGUUAAAUGAUUAAACAAACUAAAGCACAACUCUUAGCAACGGAUCUCUUGGCUCCA
This 352-nucleotide unclassified non-coding RNA is filed under the name fungal sp. RNAcentral's name for it is "partial internal transcribed spacer region". The stretch from base 1 to 46 matches the Rfam family "Eukaryotic small subunit ribosomal RNA", at positions 1786 to 1831 of the family's 1831-position model. Lineage: Eukaryota; Fungi. The record is from RNAcentral.